CCUACGGGAGGCAGCAGUGAGGAAUAUUGGUCAAUGGGCGCGAGCCUGAACCAGCCAAGUAGCGUGAAGGAUGACUGCCCUACGGGUUGUAAACUUCUUUUAUAAAGGAAUAAAGUGAGGCACGUGUGCCUUUUUGUAUGUACUUUAUGAAUAAGGAUCGGCUAACUCCGUGCCAGCAGCCGCGGUAAUACGGAGGAUCCGAGCGUUAUCCGGAUUUAUUGGGGUUAAAGGGAGCGUAGAUGGGUUGUUAAGUCCGUUGUGAAAGUUUGCGGCUCAACCGUAAAAUUGCAAUUGAUACUGGCGGUCUUGAGUACAGUUGAGGUAGGCGGAAUUCGUGGUGUAGCGGUGAAAUGCUUAGAUAUCACGAAGAACUCCGAUUGCGAAGGCAGCUUACUAAACUGCCACUGACAUUGAUGCUCGAAAGUGUGGGUAUCAAACAGGAUUAGAUACCCUUGUAGUC
Molecule: ribosomal RNA, 460 nt
Filed under: uncultured bacterium
Lineage: Bacteria
Description: partial 16S ribosomal RNA
Rfam family: Bacterial small subunit ribosomal RNA
Source: RNAcentral